AGGACAAUCAGAGACCCCAACUUCUGGGAGCCAGCGGAAGCUUGUACACCACACAUCUGUUUCAGAUCUCAGCCUCUAAGUGUUCAGGACAACUAAUAUCUACUCCAAAAGAUAUAUGGGAGAUAACCAAGUUGGCCUUCCUGGAAUUUUUAUGAUCAUCUCAGAAACUCAAUUUCAAGCCUCAAAUGAGUGACUUCAACAGCCUAAGUUAAUGAGCCUGUGAGGAGAGAGCUGCCAAAUUGCUCAACACUAGACCGGAAGGCUACUUAACAAGAAACUGUAACUCAGUCUAUGCCGAAAGACGACUUAUCAGUUCUUUUGACAAAGGAAGGGCCUAAAGACAACAUUUUUGGAACAGUUACAGCAAAAUCUUAUUACCAAAAUUUUUUUUUAAACUAAGCUGGUAGAAGGGUGCUCUAAGGAUGCUGAAGAAAUCUCUCACUGUCAGUGGGCUGAGAAAUGUAACCAUCCUAAAUCCUACCUCCAGGUUGAAGUUGACAGGAAAAUCUGUGGAAAAUUUACCAUUUUAUCUAGGGAGCUGCAGCAUUUCAGGAGAAUAUAAUGGUUUUGGGUAUGAAUUUAUAGCAUUCCAGCCAUCAGAGAUAGAUAACUUGGUAUAAGUCCAGUGAGUUCAGUUAUUCCGCACGUCUGGGGUACUCGAAAACCAUGAGCAAGACAAGCACAGAUGUUGUUCCUCAGGUGACUUAUGUUGACAGAAUUUGCUUUCUUAUUUCCAGUGUCAAAUCAGAGAGAGGGCAUUUACUGCGGUGUGGAGAAAAUCAGAACAGCUUCAGAAUCAACAAACUUGAAAGCUUUCAUUUCUGUCUUGGCUCUUACAAAGAAUAAAAACCAGAGUGUCUUUGAAGAUUAGUAAGUCAUAUUAAUGCUAUUGGGAGCCACUUCUGAAUAUGUAGGAGCAAAUAUUCUCAUGAAAACAAAUCUUGGAGUAAAGUAAACUUUCUCUUCUAUAUUCUUAAAGUCCACAGGUGAGGGGGGAAGGGAGCAGAUGAAGUCUUUACUGCACUUUGGAGUAGCAUUUGGAAAAACCUUUUCUUGUGUUAUGCAUGCUAUAUUCACUAUAAUGCUGGAAUCCCUAAUGUCUAUUCAAGGCAGAGAGGAGAAGCAGGAGAUAGAGUGCUGCCGUUAUAUUCAGGAAAAAUUAAGGUAUUCCUUCAGAUAUUUACAUAGUUGUGUGUCUCUGGACAAGUCAUUUAAGCUUUAAUGUCUCAAGGUUCCUUGUUUAUGAAAUGAAGAUCACAAUGGCACCUAUAACAGAAUUAUU
Monodelphis domestica (gray short-tailed opossum) is the source of this 1282-nucleotide long non-coding RNA. RefSeq lists it as uncharacterized. Lineage: Eukaryota; Metazoa; Chordata; Mammalia; Didelphimorphia; Didelphidae. The record is from RefSeq and is a predicted model, not a curated record.